This 426-nucleotide ribosomal RNA is filed under the name Triticum aestivum (bread wheat). Its description in RNAcentral is "partial small subunit ribosomal RNA". The record is from RNAcentral. Lineage: Eukaryota; Viridiplantae; Streptophyta; Magnoliopsida; Poales; Poaceae.
AUGCGCGUGGUGCACCGGGACGAGGAGGGCCACAAGGUGGCGGAGAAGGUGCCGGUCCCGGAGACGAGGCGCCCGGACACGGCGAGGCACGUGGAGCGCAAGCUGGAGGAGCAGGGGCUGCACCGGCUGGAGCGCCACCCGGCCAACGCGCCCCGGGGCGUCGGCAUCGGCGCGCCCCCGCCCAAGUCCGGCCGCGGCGGCAAGUACACCUGGGAGGGCCCCGAGGGGCUCGUCGACAGCGAGCUCGACCCCGCGCCCGCCGCCAUCGACCGCAACGACCCCAACUACGAGGAGGAGGGGGAGCAGGACGAGGUGGCCGAGGAGGUGGUCGUCGGGGAGGUGGAGGUCGCCAAGGUGGCCCAGGCCCGGGCCGGCGUCGCCAGGGUCGAGGUCGCGCCGCCGCUCCUCCAUGACCACCAGCAGUAG